GUUAGGAAUAACAACCUCACAUGGCACCGGGGCUGGCACAGCAGUGGGAGACAUGGGCCCUGGGGGAACACUGCCGCUGCCUAUAGCACACUGCACUGCCACAAAUAGCUCUGCAGGCUAUUUUAGGAUCUUCCUUGCAAUGCUGCAGCAGCACUACCUGGACAGAGAGACACGACCCCAAACUGUCCAAGCCACAGGAUAACGGGGGGGCUGGAGCGUAUCCCAGCAUGCACAGGGCGGAGGGCAGGGAAAACGCUCCGAAAAGGCCGCCGGUCCACAAGUCUAAAAUUAAUAUCAUGACAAUGAUAAAUUAUGUUCAUAUCGAAAUAUAACAAUAUCUGCUAAUGUAUGCAAAAUCAGAUAUUUAAUUGACGUUCAUCACACUGAACUGCAUGGUAGUAAAAAAAUUAUAGUAGACAAUUGUCAGACAAUAUUCCCUAAUGUGUUUCAGAUUUAAUUUUGUGAGAUAAUAAUAGGUAUUUCAUUAUUUCACUUUUUUCAUUAUUUUAGGUAUUUUUAUCCUUAAUUUGGACAAAAGAAUGAUGUGCAAUGAUAACCCUAUAAUUGGUAUUUCUGCACAACAUGGCUGCAAUAAGACAAAUAAUAACAUUCAAUUACUGCCCAGUGUAAGAUCACUCAAUAAAGCAAACAUCUUGCAAACAUCUAUUAAAGAAAUCUCUUAUACAUGGCUCAUAUGAACCAUCUGAAUUAUUCAGCUGAGUGAGCCACAUUUGUAUUCACCAUCUUCCUUCAUUAAAACAGCUUUAUUGUGUAAUUUGAUAUUGUUUCCUUGUAUUAUUUUUGUUAAUUUACAUAAUUAUCUAACCCUGUUUAUAUUUCUGUGUAUUAGGAGGAGGUCAGGGCACCUCUUGGCUCCUCCUGAACAUUGUUUGUUGUCUAUUUUAAAUUAAAGUAUUGCGUCUG
This is a long non-coding RNA of Myripristis murdjan (pinecone soldierfish), 924 nucleotides long. RefSeq lists it as uncharacterized. The transcript is spliced from 2 exons. The record is from RefSeq and is a predicted model, not a curated record. Lineage: Eukaryota; Metazoa; Chordata; Actinopteri; Holocentriformes; Holocentridae.